This 75-nucleotide antisense RNA is filed under the name Streptomyces sp. OV198. RNAcentral's name for it is "ASpks TB sRNA". It matches the Rfam family "ASpks TB sRNA". RNAcentral also lists the same sequence under 1 other name. The record is from RNAcentral. Lineage: Bacteria; Bacillati; Actinomycetota; Actinomycetes; Kitasatosporales; Streptomycetaceae.
CUUCAACGAGCCCAGCCACAGCGGCCGUUGGGCGGCCCGGCCCUGCCCGUACGUGGCCAGCAGCGCCUGCGCCUC